This 1359-nucleotide ribosomal RNA is filed under the name Vibrio parahaemolyticus. RNAcentral describes it as "bacterial SSU rRNA". It matches the Rfam family "Bacterial small subunit ribosomal RNA", at positions 85 to 1440 of the family's 1533-position model. The record is from RNAcentral. Lineage: Bacteria; Pseudomonadati; Pseudomonadota; Gammaproteobacteria; Vibrionales; Vibrionaceae.
ACGGCGUCGAGCGGCGGACGGGUGAGUAAUGCCUAGGAAAUUGCCCUGAUGUGGGGGAUAACCAUUGGAAACGAUGGCUAAUACCGCAUGAUGCCUACGGGCCAAAGAGGGGGACCUUCGGGCCUCUCGCGUCAGGAUAUGCCUAGGUGGGAUUAGCUAGUUGGUGAGGUAAGGGCUCACCAAGGCGACGAUCCCUAGCUGGUCUGAGAGGAUGAUCAGCCACACUGGAACUGAGACACGGUCCAGACUCCUACGGGAGGCAGCAGUGGGGAAUAUUGCACAAUGGGCGCAAGCCUGAUGCAGCCAUGCCGCGUGUGUGAAGAAGGCCUUCGGGUUGUAAAGCACUUUCAGUCGUGAGGAAGGUAGUGUAGUUAAUAGCUGCAUUAUUUGACGUUAGCGACAGAAGAAGCACCGGCUAACUCCGUGCCAGCAGCCGCGGUAAUACGGAGGGUGCGAGCGUUAAUCGGAAUUACUGGGCGUAAAGCGCAUGCAGGUGGUUUGUUAAGUCAGAUGUGAAAGCCCGGGGCUCAACCUCGGAAUUGCAUUUGAAACUGGCAGACUAGAGUACUGUAGAGGGGGGUAGAAUUUCAGGUGUAGCGGUGAAAUGCGUAGAGAUCUGAAGGAAUACCGGUGGCGAAGGCGGCCCCCUGGACAGAUACUGACACUCAGAUGCGAAAGCGUGGGGAGCAAACAGGAUUAGAUACCCUGGUAGUCCACGCCGUAAACGAUGUCUACUUGGAGGUUGUGGCCUUGAGCCGUGGCUUUCGGAGCUAACGCGUUAAGUAGACCGCCUGGGGAGUACGGUCGCAAGAUUAAAACUCAAAUGAAUUGACGGGGGCCCGCACAAGCGGUGGAGCAUGUGGUUUAAUUCGAUGCAACGCGAAGAACCUUACCUACUCUUGACAUCCAGAGAACUUUCCAGAGAUGGAUUGGUGCCUUCGGGAACUCUGAGACAGGUGCUGCAUGGCUGUCGUCAGCUCGUGUUGUGAAAUGUUGGGUUAAGUCCCGCAACGAGCGCAACCCUUAUCCUUGUUUGCCAGCGAGUAAUGUCGGGAACUCCAGGGAGACUGCCGGUGAUAAACCGGAGGAAGGUGGGGACGACGUCAAGUCAUCAUGGCCCUUACGAGUAGGGCUACACACGUGCUACAAUGGCGCAUACAGAGGGCGGCCAACUUGCGAAAGUGAGCGAAUCCCAAAAAGUGCGUCGUAGUCCGGAUUGGAGUCUGCAACUCGACUCCAUGAAGUCGGAAUCGCUAGUAAUCGUGGAUCAGAAUGCCACGGUGAAUACGUUCCCGGGCCUUGUACACACCGCCCGUCACACCAUGGGAGUGGGCUGCAAAAGAAGUAGGUAGUUUAACC